AAAGAGUGGGACUGGACUGAGCGACUUCACUUUCACUUUCCUAUUAUGCCCGCAGCAACCCUGGGGGCGAGGUACUGUUUCUACUCAGCUUUUACAGCGCGUGGAGCCACUGUGUACAUCAUCUUAAUGGGUCAUCAAGCAGCCUGUCGCUUUCUUCCCGUGGAGCAGUGGUCAGUAGUUUCUGGCUAUUCACAGAGGGCG
Molecule: long non-coding RNA, 201 nt
Filed under: Capra hircus (goat)
Lineage: Eukaryota; Metazoa; Chordata; Mammalia; Artiodactyla; Bovidae
Description: lncRNA (ENSCHIG00010024141.1)
Source: RNAcentral